GGCGUCCGAGUUGUAAUCUAUAGAGGCGUUUUCCGCGCCGGACCGCGUCCAAGUCUCUUGGAAUAGAGUAUCAAAGAGGGUGACAAUCCCGUACUUGACGCGACAACCGGUGCUCUGUGAUACGUUCUCAAUGAGUCGAGUUGUUUGGGAAUGCAGCUCUAAAUGGGUGGUAAAUUCCAUCUAAGGCUAAAUAUUGGCGAGAGACCGAUAGCGAACAAGUACCGUGAGGGAAAGAUGAAAAGCACUUUGGAAAGAGAGUUAAACAGCACGUGAAAUUGUUAAAAGGGAAACGAUUGAAGUCAGUCGUGUGAAAGGUAUUCAGCCGUCUCUGGCGGUGUAUUUGCCUUUCACGGGUCAACAUCAGUUUGAUCCGGUAGAAAAAGGCAGGAGGAAGGUGGCACCCUCGGGUGUGUUAUAGCCUCUUGUCAUAUGUGCCGGACCAGACUGAGGAACGCAGCUUGCCGCAAGGCCGGG
This 474-nucleotide ribosomal RNA is filed under the name Vishniacozyma victoriae. Its description in RNAcentral is "partial large subunit ribosomal RNA". It matches the Rfam family "Eukaryotic large subunit ribosomal RNA", at positions 133 to 615 of the family's 3401-position model. The record is from RNAcentral. Lineage: Eukaryota; Fungi; Basidiomycota; Tremellomycetes; Tremellales; Bulleribasidiaceae.